Molecule: long non-coding RNA, 953 nt
Organism: Ictidomys tridecemlineatus (thirteen-lined ground squirrel)
Lineage: Eukaryota; Metazoa; Chordata; Mammalia; Rodentia; Sciuridae
Source: RefSeq, a predicted model, not a curated record
GAGGUCAGCCGGGGCUUUGUUUGAAAACAAGCACAGCAGGGGGCAGAGAACCCUGAAAAAGGCCAGUGUGUGUGAGCAUGUGUGUCUGAGUUUGUGAACACGUGAGUGUGUGAACAUGCGGCUGUAUGUGUGAAUGUGUCAGGAUGUAAAUACACGUGCAUGUGACUAUGUGUGUGUGUGUGCGAUUUGUGUGUGUGAUGGCAUGACUUGAGUGUGUGAGGUGUGCCCGAGUGUGGGCCUGGGUGCAUGCGGCUGAGCGGGUGUGACCGUGAGGUCUGCUGAGGGUCACUCAGGAGGAGGAAAUGAAGGACAGGAAGCCGGGAAGGAGAGGCUGGCAAAGAGGUGCCUCUUCCCUCAGCUGGAAAUGCAGAUGACGGUGGAGCAGGAGCAGCCAGGAACCAGGCUGCGCAGCGCUGAUGUCAUCCUCCAUUAAUCAGGAGGCAGAUGCUCCCGCCCUUGUGCUCCACCAUCUCCCAGGAAGAGGCAAAGCCAGGUUUCCUGAGCAUCCCGGCCCCAUCUACAGCAUGGGCACUUCCACAAGAGUGUGACCCUGUUUAGCUUAAGAUCUCUGUUUUGCCAGCUGCGGAAGUCCUGCACCACCACAUACUGCUGCCCACUGCCACUCCAUCAGAAGGUAUUGAUCAUCCGUGUACUGCUGUCCUGGGCUGCCCACCACCCCUUUCCCCUUCUGCAGCAGGACACACAGCGCAGCAGACUUCUCAGGGAACUCAGCCUUCCAGGCAGAUGCAGUUACAUGGCAACCAUAGACACCUUUUUUUGGGGGACCGAUAUUCUAUUAAUCUUUACAAGUGUAUUAGUUCCGACUUGCAGCAAUCCAUCAGCUGUAAGUGCAAUAAAUGAUGCUUGGAAAUGAAUACCCACAUUUCAACAGAGAUGGUUUUACAUAUUAAAUUAUCUUUAAAGUUAUAAAUAAAUAACCUAUGUGAAAUAGA